ACUCGCCAGGACCACCCACCCCGGGCUGCGCGCCGGGCGCCCCCCGACGGCUGCGUGAGCUGAAGCCCGGGCUGGCCCAGCCGGGGUCGGAGGCUGCAGUCGCUCCCGGGCGCUGUCCUCGUGCCCGGCCGAGACUAGGGACUUAAGCAGCCCGGGCUGGCCCAGCCGGGGUCAGAGGCUGCAGUCGCUCCCGGGCGCUGUCCUCGUGCCCGGCUGAGACUAGGGACUUAAGCAACCCGGGCCUCCGAGCCGCUCGGGUGAGCGGUGCGAACACGGCGCGGCGCGGCGCGGCACAGGCGGGGCAGCCUCCAGGGGCGCCUGGAGCGAGGCGGCCUGGGAGAGCCGCUGGUCCGGGAGGGAAGCGCCCUGGACGGAGGUACCCGCGGCCCCCGAUCCGCGUGGGUCCAGGCUCUCCCCUCCACGCAGCCUCCCCUGCAAACUCAGUCACUCCUGCCUCUCCCGUGUUGGGCAGUGGUGGUUCAGAUUGCUGGGACUUCUAUGAGCUUCGGUUUUUUUCCUCAGUAAGGUUUUACACUCGGGACUCAGCGAAAGGACAGCGUGCUGACUUCUGAGUCAGACUGAUCUGGAUUUGAACCUCAGCUCCAGCUCUUGCCAGCUAUGUGGUCUUCGACGAAUACUUCCACCCCUGUGUGGUGCAGUUUGCUCAUCUGCAAAAUGGGACUAAUCUAAUAUAUAUGAUGGGCUUGGAUAUGUCUCUUUAUGCAUUUAUACAUGGAAGAAUGCACCCCAAACUCAGUAGUAUUGGUGACAUCUGGGGAGGGAUGCAGGGUUGGGGGAGGACUGAAAAAGGCUUUUGCUUUUUACUCUGCGUUAUGUUUAUUAUUAUUAUAUUAUUAUUUAUUUAUUUUUUUUGAGACGGAGUCUCACUCUGUCGUCCAGGCUGGAGUGCAGUGGUGCUAUCUUGGCUCACUGCAAGCUCCGCCUCCCAGGUUCACGCCAUUCUCCUGCCCUAGCCUCCUGAGUAGCUGGGACUACAGGCGUCUGCCACCACGCCCGGCUAAUUUUUUGUAUUUUUAGUAGAGACGGGGUUUCAUCGUGUUAGCCAGAAUGGUCUCGAUCUCCUGACCUCGUGAUCCGUCCGCCUCGGCCUCCCAAAGUGCUGGGAUUACAGGCGUGAGCCACCGCACCCAGCUAUGUAAUGUUAUUUUUGUGAAUUUUUUUAACCACAAGAGCAAUCCAUCUAUUAGUUUUAUCUUUUUUUUUUCUUUUUUUUUUUGAGAUGGAGUUUCACUCUUGUUGCCCAGGCUGGAGUGCAGUGGCGCGAUCUCGGCUCACUGCAACCUCCGCCUCCCAGGUUCAAGUGAUUCUCCUGCCUCAGCCUCCCAAGUAGCUGGGAUUAGAGGCAUGCGCCACCAUGCCUGGCUUAUUUUAUAUUUUUUAGUAGAGACGGGAUUUCUCCAUGUUAGUCAGGCUAGCCUCCAACUCCCGACCUCAAGUGAUCCUCCUGCCUCGGCCUCCCAAAGUUCUGGGAUUAUAGGCGUGAGCCACCGCGCCUGGCUAUUAUUUAUUAUAAAUAAUAUAUGUAAGCUGGGCAUGGUGGUGAAAGCCUGUAGUCCUAGCUACUCAGGAGGCUGAGCGGGGAGGAUUGCUUGAGCCCAGGAGUUUGAGGCUGCAGUGAACUAUGAUCGUGCCACUGCACUCCAGCCCCUGCGACAGAGAGAGACCUCGUCUCAAAAAAUAAACACAUAAAUAAAUAAAAUAUGUAAAAUGGCUGGCAUAGAGUAGACAAUAAAUGGUCACUGCUAUUUUUAUAUUUUACUUUUUUUUUUUUGAGAAGGAGUCUUGUCCUGUCACCCAGGCUGGAGUGCAAUGGCGCCAUCUCAGCUCACUGCAACCUCUGCCUCCUGGGUUCAAGCCAUUCUCCUGCCUCAGCCUCCUGAGUAGGUGGGAUUGCAGGCACGAGCCACCACGCCUGGCUAAUUUUUUGUAUCUUUAGUAGAGAUGGGGUUUCACCAUGUUGGCCAGGCUGGUCUCGAACUCCUGACCUCAUGAUCCGUCCGCCUCAGCCUCCCAAAGUGCUGGGAUUACAGACAUGAGCCACUGCUCCCGGCCUAUAUUUUUACUUUCUAUUUACUGACGCGUUGUAUUUUGUUGGGUCUACUCAGUGUUUUAAAGGUUUUUGUUUGUUUGUUUUUUGUUUUUAAGACAGGCUAGUUUCAAACUCCUGGGCUCAAGAAAUCCUCCUUCCUUGGGCUCCUAAAAUGCCGGGAUUACAUGUGUGAGCCACUGGGCCCAACCUAAAGGCACAUUUUUUUUUUUUAAAUAACUUGUCAAUACGUAUUUUAAAACCUGGAUAUUUUAAAAUUUCUCUUGAAAAACUAAAACACAAAAAUAGAAGCUCUAACAACAUUGUCCUGCAUCCUCACAAAAUAUCAGAGGUCUUUGGUUCCCCACCUGUCAUUUUUUGGGCGCCUUUUGCACUUGGUGUUGAAGAAGCAGCAAGAAGUCUCUGGCCUCAAGGAGUUGGGUCUGAUCAGGCACAGACACGGCAGGUAAUGGGGUCAUGCGAAGGUUAAUACUGGGCUCAGCUGAAGGAGAUGUUAUCUCUAAGAAGAUGAUGGAUAUGAAAACGUAAAAUGCUUUCAAAAUGUAGGAAUUGGGCCGGGCGCGGUGGCUCAUGCCUGCAAUCCCAGCACCUUCGGAGGCCAAGGCGGGCGGAUCAUCUGAGGUCAGGAGUUCAAGACCAGCCUAGCCAACAUGGCGAAACCCCAUCUCUACUAAAAAUACAAAAAUUAGCCGGGUGUGGUGGUGGGCGUUUGUAAUCCCAGCUACUCAGGAGGCUGAGACAGGGAGAAUUGCUUGAACCUGGCAGGCGGAGGUUGCAUUGAGCUGAGAUCAUGCCACUGCACUCCAGCUUAGGUGACAGAGCGAGACUCUGCCUCAAAAAAAUAAAGAAAAGAAAAGAAAAUGUAAGAAUUGUGUCCCGAGCUGGGUACAAUUGCAGGCACCUGUAGUCCUGGCGAUUCGGGAGGCUGAAGUGGGAGGAUCACUUGAGGCCAAGAGUUCAAGUCCAGCCUGGGCAACAUGGCAAGACCCCAUAUCUAAAAAAAAAAAAAGAAGAAGAAAAAAGAAAGGAGAAAAAGAAUUGUAUCAUUAUUUGAAAUUUAACAUGCAUAUUUUUUCUCGGUAAAUCACUAAGUUCUUUCAGAAUAAAGGACUAUUUAUG
This 3187-nucleotide long non-coding RNA is filed under the name Homo sapiens (human). Its description in RNAcentral is "HSALNT0295679". Lineage: Eukaryota; Metazoa; Chordata; Mammalia; Primates; Hominidae. The record is from RNAcentral.